CCCCUCGUUCUCCGGCCCCUGUAAAGCUCCCUCCACAUAACGUAAGAGAACCUGUAAAGUUGGAAGUGUUCCACAGGCCAAAGCGGGUCUGUGCUGCUUAUUUUAGGGAGGGUAUUGUCCACCCUGGCCAUGCGUCUGAGCCGGGGGCAGAGCCCUGUAGAAACAGGGCAGCUGUGGGCUCAGCUCUUGCCCUGCCCCAGUUCAUCGCCUCCCUCCCGCGCAAACACGCCUUAUCAGAAAGCGGAGGCUUUCUGGGGUUCCUGCCCCUCUCCACGCAUUCGAACUCUCAAGAGGCCCAGAAGUCCCACAGUAACGGCAGCAUGUUCGCCCGUGGAGCUGGGACCCAGCCCGUCCUCGCCGCUCCUGUUCCGUCUUGCUCCCACACGGUGGCCGCAGAGGACGCAGCAUCCGCGCCAUGGGCUGGGAGGGGCUGACUGCAGGCUGCAGGGUCCACGGAAGUUUCCAGAGGAAAGUGGGUGCUUCUCCUGGCACGGCUUGAAACCCCCGCACGCUGCACUCCUUCCUGUCCUGCACUCAUUUGGGAACCAAGCGACAUUUCUUAUCCUCAUCUCCGCUUGGCCUCUGUGGCCACCCGGUCACGUGGUCUGGAGACACCAUCUCCCGAGUAAAGAGAAACGUGAAGCCCCUUUCAAGCACGAGCCGAUUCCUUUUCCCGUCAGCUCUGCUGAGUGGCCACAACACGACUGAUCGUUACGCUAAAUGGAAGCACAGGGUGCGCGGGCUCCGCGGUUCUUCCUGUGCAUUUAGCGCCGUCCCACGGAAACGCAACCCUCCGGCUCGACCGGAACAGCACUUUUCUGUCGCUCAUCUGAUGAUGUUCCAUUGUAUCUCAAACACAGAUUCGUCCCCAUCAGACCAGUGCAGGCCGGCUCUGGUUCAUUUUGAUGUCACCUCCUCAUUUCCUACGACCAUAAACUUCCUUCCUGACAAACAAGAUGUUCUAGUCUCCUCCUUAUGUGGGCUCGAGUGAAGCCAGUCCACAAACUGUGACUUAAACGUUUCCACACGCAGUCCAGGGGCAUUUAGUUCAUUCACAGUGUUGCGCAAACACCGCUUCCCUCUCCAGAAAUACUUUCAUCAUCCUAAAGGGAAAACUCCCGUGGUCUCACAGUUUUGCCAACUAGAAACCAGCCUCCCCUUCCCACUCACAGGGCCUGCCAAAGGAGGGCUCCCUCAGGGUGUGGGCUUAUCCAGGGCGAGGUCCCCUGGAAGCCCUGCCCUGCAACCGGUCACGUGGGCCAGCUUGCUGCUGGCUACUUGUACCAACACACUGACUCCAGCUGGGACGGGCUCUGGGGAAGCUGAGUCAGGACUCUCUCUUUCCCAAGGCCUGCUGUAGAUAAGCGACCCCU
This 1373-nucleotide long non-coding RNA is filed under the name Heterocephalus glaber (naked mole-rat). Its description in RNAcentral is "lncRNA (ENSHGLG00000047013.1)". The record is from RNAcentral. Lineage: Eukaryota; Metazoa; Chordata; Mammalia; Rodentia; Bathyergidae.